UCUCCGUUGGUGAGCCAGCGGAGGGAUCAUUACAGGACUCGCAAGCCUCCUUCACCCUGUGAACCUCACUACCAGCACGUUGCUUCGGCGGGUGUCCCGGCGGGGGUUUUCCCUCGCCGGGGCGCACAGCCCGCCGGCAGCCUACUAUACUCUGUCUCUUUGCGUUGGCAUCUCGAGAAAAAACAAACAAGUAAAAACUUUCAACAACGGAUCUCUUGGUUCUG
This 224-nucleotide unclassified non-coding RNA is filed under the name plant metagenome. RNAcentral's name for it is "partial contains small subunit ribosomal RNA, internal transcribed spacer 1, and 5.8S ribosomal RNA". The record is from RNAcentral.